RNAcentral lists this long non-coding RNA (236 nucleotides) under Lathyrus oleraceus (garden pea). Its description in RNAcentral is "Pisum sativum (pea) long non-coding RNA (PSAT_LNC036241)". The record is from RNAcentral. Lineage: Eukaryota; Viridiplantae; Streptophyta; Magnoliopsida; Fabales; Fabaceae.
UCAAGUUAUGAGUCUUUGAAGUUAUGAAAAAUAACAAAAAUAAAUAGGCAAAAAAAAAUAAUGAAUAAAAAUGAGUCUGGGACAAGCAGGAUUCAAACCCCAGACCUCUUGCACACACAAAGCCUUAACACACACACUCUAACCGCUGGGGCAACGAUACAUCCAUUAACUAAUUUACAAACAUUAAUAUAUAUAUAUAAUAAAACGAUUCCAGAAACUGGGAAAUGACAUCAUUU